AGCUACUAAGAGCGAAUGGUGGAUGCCUUGACUGGUAAAGGCGAUGAAGGACGUACUAGACUGCGAUAAGCUACGGGGAGCUGUCAAGAAGCUUUGAUCCGUAGAUUUCCGAAUGGGGCAACCCAAUGUAUAGAGAUAUACAUUACCUAUAUAGGAGCGAACGAGGGGAAUUGAAACAUCUUAGUACCCUCAGGAAAAGAAAUCAAUAGAGAUUGCGUCAGUAGCGGCGAGCGAAAGCGUAAGAGGGCAAACCCAGUGCUUGCACUGGGGGUUGUAGGACUGCAAUGUGCAAGAGGUGAGUUUAGCAGAACAUUCUGGAAAGUAUAGCCAUAGAGGGUGAUAGUCCCGUAUGCGAAAAACAAACCUUAGCUAGCAGUAUCCUGAGUAGGGCGGGACACGAGAAAUCCUGUCUGAAGCUGGGUCGACCACGAUCCAACCCUAAAUACUAAUACCAGAUCGAUAGUGCACAAGUACCGUGAGGGAAAGGUGAAAAGAACUGAGGUGAUCAGAGUGAAAUAGAACCUGAAACCAUUUGCUUACAAUCAUUCAGAGCACUAUGUAGCAAUACAGUGUGAUGGACUGCCUUUUGCAUAAUGAGCCUGCGAGUUGUGGUGUCUGGCAAGGUUAAGCAAACGCGAAGCCGUAGCGAAAGCGAGUCUGAAUAGGGCGCUUAGUCAGAUGCUGCAGACCCGAAACGAAGUGAUCUAUCCAUGAGCAAGUUGAAGCUAGUGUAAGAACUAGUGGAGGACUGAACCCAUAGGCGUUGAAAAGCCCCGGGAUGACUUGUGGAUAGGGGUGAAAGGCCAAUCAAACUUCGUGAUAGCUGGUUCUCUCCGAAAUAUAUUUAGGUAUAGCGUUGUGUCGUAAUAUAAGGGGGUAGAGCACUGAAUGGGCUAGGGCAUACACCAAUGUACCAAACCCUAUCAAACUCCGAAUACCUUAUAUGUAAUCACAGCAGUCAGGCGGCGAGUGAUAAAAUCCGUCGUCAAGAGGGAAACAACCCAGACUACCAGCUAAGGUCCCUAAAUCUUACUUAAGUGGAAAACGAUGUGAAGUUACUUAAACAACCAGGAGGUUGGCUUAGAAGCAGCCAUCCUUUAAAGAAAGCGUAAUAGCUCACUGGUCUAGUGAUUUUGCGCGGAAAAUAUAACGGGGCUAAAGUAAGUACCGAAGCUGUAGACUUGCGCACAACUUAGAUUAUUUAAGUUUAGAAUAUGAGAAACUAAGUUAUAUGUUUAGUUAUAUUUUUACUGAUUUUUAUAGAGUAAAGAUAGAAAUAAAACUUAGUAAAAUCAGUAAAAAUAUUCUUAGACUAAAGUUAAGUAGUUUAAGUUGUGUGCAAGUGGUAGGAGAGCGUUCUAUUUGCGUCGAAGGUAUACCGGUAAGGAGUGCUGGAGCGAAUAGAAGUGAGCAUGCAGGCAUGAGUAGCGAUAAUUAAUGUGAGAAUCAUUAACGCCGUAAACCCAAGGUUUCCUACGCGAUGCUCGUCAUCGUAGGGUUAGUCGGGUCCUAAGUCGAGUCCGAAAGGGGUAGACGAUGGCAAAUUGGUUAAUAUUCCAAUACCAACAUUAGUGUGCGAUGGAAGGACGCUUAGGGCUAAGGGGGCUAGCGGAUGGAAGUGCUAGUCUAAGGUCGUAGGAGGUUAUACAGGCAAAUCCGUAUAACAAUACUCCGAGAACUGAAAGGCUUUUUGAAGUCUUCGGAUGGAUAGAAGAACCCCUGAUGCCAUCGAGCCAAGAAAAGUUUCUAAGUUUAGCUAAUGUUGCCCGUACCGUAAACCGACACAGGUGGGUGGGAUGAGUAUUCUAAGGCGCGUGGAAGAACUCUCUUUAAGGAACUCUGCAAAAUAGCACCGUAUCUUCGGUAUAAGGUGUGGUUCGCUUCGUAUUAGGAUUUACUCCGAAAGCGAAGAAACUUACAACAAAGAGUCCCUCCCGACUGUUUACCAAAAACACAGCACUCUGCUAACUCGUAAGAGGAUGUAUAGGGUGUGACGCCUGCCCGGUGCUCGAAGGUUAAUUGAUGGGGUUAGCAUUAGCGAAGCUCUUGAUCGAAGCCCGAGUAAACGGCGGCCGUAACUAUAACGGUCCUAAGGUAGCGAAAUUCCUUGUCGGUUAAAUACCGACCUGCAUGAAUGGCGUAACGAGAUGGGAGCUGUCUCAAAGAGGGAUCCAGUGAAAUUGUAGUGGAGGUGAAAAUUCCUCCUACCCGCGGCAAGACGGAAAGACCCCGUGGACCUUUACUACAGCUUGACACUGCUAUUUGGAUAAGAAUGUGCAGGAUAGGUGGGAGGCUUUGAGUAUAUGACGCCCGUUGUAUAUGAGCCAUUGUUGAGAUACCACUCUUUCUUAUUUGGGUAGCUAACCAGCUUGAGUUAUCCUC
RNAcentral lists this ribosomal RNA (2382 nucleotides) under Campylobacter coli. RNAcentral describes it as "bacterial LSU rRNA". It matches the Rfam family "Bacterial large subunit ribosomal RNA", at positions 1 to 2243 of the family's 2925-position model. Lineage: Bacteria; Pseudomonadati; Campylobacterota; Epsilonproteobacteria; Campylobacterales; Campylobacteraceae. The record is from RNAcentral.